This 478-nucleotide ribosomal RNA is filed under the name uncultured Asticcacaulis sp. RNAcentral describes it as "bacterial SSU rRNA". It matches the Rfam family "Bacterial small subunit ribosomal RNA", at positions 1 to 524 of the family's 1533-position model. The record is from RNAcentral. Lineage: Bacteria; Pseudomonadati; Pseudomonadota; Alphaproteobacteria; Caulobacterales; Caulobacteraceae.
UCUAUACUAUAGAGUUUGAUCAUGGCUCAGAGCGAACGCUGGCGGCAGGCCUAACACAUGCAAGUCGAACGGUUCUUCGGAACAGUGGCGGACGGGUGAGUAACACGUGGGAACGUACCUUUUGGUUCGGAACAACACAGGGAAACUUGUGCUAAUACCGGAUAAGCCCUUCGGGGGAAAGAUUUAUCGCCGAAAGAGCGGCCCGCGUUAGAUUAGCUAGUUGGUGAGGUAAAGGCUCACCAAGGCUACGAUCUAUAGCUGGUCUGAGAGGAUGAUCAGCCACAUUGGGACUGAGACACGGCCCAAACUCCUACGGGAGGCAGCAGUGGGGAAUCUUGCGCAAUGGGCGAAAGCCUGACGCAGCCAUGCCGCGUGAAUGAUGAAGGUCUUAGGAUUGUAAAAUUCUUUCAGUAGGGACGAUAAUGACGGUACCUACAGAAGAAGCCCCGGCUAACUUCGUGCCAGCCGCCGCGGUAAU